Molecule: ribosomal RNA, 253 nt
Filed under: uncultured bacterium
Lineage: Bacteria
Description: partial 16S ribosomal RNA
Rfam family: Bacterial small subunit ribosomal RNA
Source: RNAcentral
GACGAAGGGGGCUAGCGUUGUUCGGAAUUACUGGGCGUAAAGCGCGCGCAGGCGGUCUUCCAAGUCAGUGGUGAAAGCCUGGAGCUCAACUCCAGAACUGCCAUUGAAACUGUUAGACUUGAGUACGAGAGAGGUGAGUGGAAUUCCCAGUGUAGAGGUGAAAUUCGUAGAUAUUGGGAAGAACACCAGUGGCGAAGGCGGCUCACUGGCUCGUAACUGACGCUCAGGCGCGACAGCGUGGGGAUCAAACAGG